This 484-nucleotide ribosomal RNA is filed under the name uncultured bacterium. RNAcentral describes it as "partial 16S ribosomal RNA". It matches the Rfam family "Bacterial small subunit ribosomal RNA", at positions 30 to 507 of the family's 1533-position model. The record is from RNAcentral.
AUUGAACGCUGGCGGCAUGCUUUACACAUGCAAGUCGAACGGCAGCGCGGGCUUCGGCUUGGCGUCGAGUGGCCAACGGGUGAGUAAUACAUCGGAACGUGCCCAGUUGUGGGGGAUAGCUCGGCGACAGCCGGAUUAAUACCGCAUACGACCUGAGGGUGAAAGCGGGGGAUCUUCGGACCUCGCGCUAUUGGACCGGCCGAUGGCAGAUUAGCGAGUUGGUGGGGUAAAGGCCUACCAAGGCGACGAUCUGUAGCUGGUCUGAGAGGACGACCAGCCACACUGGCACUGAGACACGGCCCAGACUCCUACGGGAGGCAGCAGUGGGGAAUUUUGGACAAUGGGCGAAAGCCUGAUCCAGCAAUGCCGCGUGUGUGAUGAAGGCCUUCGGGUUGUAAAGCACUUUUGGCGGGAACGAAAAGGACUGUGCCAAUACCACGGUUCGAUGACGGUACCCGCAGAAUAAGCACCGGCUAACUACGUG